GGUCUCAGCUCACGAUCACAGUAGGUUCCCAACAGUCCCUUAUUACAACAGAUGUCCUUUAUUUUUUCAUCUCUGUGAAGCAAGAUUGGGAGUUUUUGAGUGCUGCAAAACGCAACAAGAAAUACCCUUGGUGAAUGUAGUAAGAAAUCACAAUGCACAGAACCAAACAAAAGAUAAAUGCAGGGGCCGAAAAUGAAAGGCAGACAAAGGACAGAGAGGAAUUAGCUGCUGGGAGGAAAGGAACUAGAAUGAAUUUGCUGAUUUGGCUGAAUUGGAAUUCCUUACCUCGAUACAGACCUUUAAUUCCUCUGCUUGGCCAGUGGGGAGAACUAAAGCUUGCAUCCGUGUUUGUCAAUCAGUCUCUCUCCCCCACACACUCUCACACACAUCCCUUUGCUUUCUCCCCACUGAGAGGAGACUCACAGGACCUGCACAAGCACUGGGAGACAGUGGAUGGAGGGCAGGAGGGAAGAAAGCUGAUAUUGAACUCAUUCACAGAGUCCAGCUCAGCAACAAAGGAUGCCCUCAAUCCAUCAGCACACCAGCAACUGCUAACCUGUUGCCUGUUUUAAGGCCUUUAUCUACUGACAGUCAGCGCCAAUCAGUAACAUCUUGAAAAUCAAGCACCAGACAAGCUUGGAAGGCCGUCUUACUGCAGUAGUAACUCUUGUUCCAUACCAGUCUCACUUGCUCCAAACUGCAGUCAGUGCCCUUUAAAAGCUCCUUUAAAAAAGGGAACUUUGUCAAUUGCCCAGUGUUAGAUCAUUGGGAAUGUCCUGCUCUGGAGCUCCUUGAGAAGGAAGAAAUAUCAGCAAACUCUUAUGGUAGCAGCUGGACUAUCCUGAUCUGCAGGUCCUUCAGAAAGGGGAAAUCUAUUCCAUGGUGUUAGCCAGCAGAUCAUGCCCAGAUAGGAAGCUCUUUGAGAAGGGAGAAAAUUUAAUACCUUGUUGUUAACCACCAGGCCGGGGCUCCUUUAGACAGGCAUGGUGGGGGGGGGGGGGAUAUCAGUACCCCACUGUAAGCAGGCAGGCACUAGUGUAGUGGUAAUUUUGGAAGUGCAAGAGCUCUAAACCCACAUAUUGAAAUGUUAAACUACGGCACCAGCUGAGAGGAGGAGGUGGAGGAUUGGAAGCUGCCUAAGCCCCAACUGAUGCAAUGGAGACAUGGUAGGGAGCUGUAGGAAGCACUGGCACUGAAAUGACUCAGAAUGAAA
This is a long non-coding RNA of Chrysemys picta bellii (western painted turtle), 1213 nucleotides long. RefSeq lists it as uncharacterized. The record is from RefSeq and is a predicted model, not a curated record. NCBI's taxonomy places the organism in Eukaryota, Metazoa, Chordata, Testudines, Emydidae.